AGAGUUUGAUCCUGGCUCAGAUUGAACGCUGGCGGCAGGCCUAACACAUGCAAGUCGAGCGGUAGAGAGAAGCUUGCUUCUCUUGAGAGCGGCGGACGGGUGAGUAAUGCCUAGGAAUCUGCCUGGUAGUGGGGGAUAACGUUCGGAAACGGACGCUAAUACCGCAUACGUCCUACGGGAGAAAGCAGGGGACCUUCGGGCCUUGCGCUAUCAGAUGAGCCUAGGUCGGAUUAGCUAGUUGGUGGGGUAAUGGCUCACCAAGGCGACGAUCCGUAACUGGUCUGAGAGGAUGAUCAGUCACACUGGAACUGAGACACGGUCCAGACUCCUACGGGAGGCAGCAGUGGGGAAUAUUGGACAAUGGGCGAAAGCCUGAUCCAGCCAUGCCGCGUGUGUGAAGAAGGUCUUCGGAUUGUAAAGCACUUUAAGUUGGGAGGAAGGGCAGUUACCUAAUACGUGAUUGUUUUGACGUUACCGACAGAAUAAGCACCGGCUAACUCUGUGCCAGCAGCCGCGGUAAUACAGAGGGUGCAAGCGUUAAUCGGAAUUACUGGGCGUUAAGCGCGCGUAGGUGGUUCGUUAAGUUGGAUGUGAAAUCCCCGGGCUCAACCUGGGAACUGCAUUCAAAACUGACA
This 635-nucleotide ribosomal RNA is filed under the name Pseudomonas sp. LZT5. Its description in RNAcentral is "bacterial SSU rRNA". It matches the Rfam family "Bacterial small subunit ribosomal RNA", at positions 8 to 638 of the family's 1533-position model. The record is from RNAcentral. Lineage: Bacteria; Pseudomonadati; Pseudomonadota; Gammaproteobacteria; Pseudomonadales; Pseudomonadaceae.